This 910-nucleotide ribosomal RNA is filed under the name uncultured bacterium. RNAcentral's name for it is "bacterial SSU rRNA". It matches the Rfam family "Bacterial small subunit ribosomal RNA", at positions 33 to 925 of the family's 1533-position model. The record is from RNAcentral.
ACGCUGGCGGCGUGCCUAAUACAUGCAAGUAGAACGCUGAAGAGAGGAGCUUGCUCUUCUUGGAUGAGUUGCGAACGGGUGAGUAACGCGUAGGUAACCUGCCUUGUAGCGGGGGAUAACUAUUGGAAACGAUAGCUAAUACCGCAUAACAAUGGAUGACACAUGUCAUUUAUUUGAAAGGGGCAAUAGCUCCGCUACAAGAUGGACCUGCGUUGUAUUAGCUAGUAGGUGUGGUAACGGCUCACCUAGGCGACGAUACAUAGCCGACCUGAGAGGGUGAUCGGCCACACUGGGACUGAGACACGGCCCAGACUCCUACGGGAGGCAGCAGUAGGGAAUCUUCGGCAAUGGGGGCAACCCUGACCGAGCAACGCCGCGUGAGUGAAGAAGGUUUUCGGAUCGUAAAGCUCUGUUGUAAGUCAAGAACGAGUGUGAGAGUGGAAAGUUCACACUGUGACGGUAGCUUACCAGAAAGGGACGGCUAACUACGUGCCAGCUGCCGCGGUAAUACGUAGGUCCCGAGCGUUGUCCGGAUUUAUUGGGCGUAAAGCGAGCGCAGGCGGUUUGAUAAGUCUGAAGUUAAAGGCUGUGGCUCAACCAUAGUUCGCUUUGGAAACUGUCGAACUUGAGUGCAGAAGGGGAGAGUGGAAUUCCAUGUGUAGCGGUGAAAUGCGUAGAUAUAUGGAGGAACACCGGUGGCGAAAGCGGCUCUCUGGUCUGUAACUGACGCUGAGGCUCGAAAGCGUGGGGAGCGAACAGGAUUAGAUACCCUGGUAGUCCACGCCGUAAACGAUGAGUGCUAGGUGUUGGAUCCUUUCCGGGAUUCAGUGCCGCAGCUAACGCAUUAAGCACUCCGCCUGGGGAGUACGACCGCAAGGUUGAAACUCAAAGGAAUUGACGGGGGCCCGCA